UCUCUUCAUAGCUGUCAAUUGAAUCUUGGGAGUUUCCCGCUGCUCCUCCGCCAAUGCCAUCAUCUCAUUGCUAAAACUCUUCCUUCUUUUUCGCCAACGUUUCAACCCUAACUCCGCAGCUCACUCCUCUUUCUCUAACGCUUACAGAUCGUGCCACGUAUUUAUCUCGCUCGCCGCAUUGAUUAUCACUCGCUCAUAGUCUCAAUGCUAUGCAUUUCGUCUUCGAACUGGCUGUCGGUGCCGAUUGUAGCUCGAUGAAUUGCCAUUUCUAGUCGACUGACAAGGAAGUCAUGAUCCGAGCAAGAAAGGAAAUACGUACACCAGAGUCAACAAAAGAAGUUGGAUUUGCUUCAUACUCAUCAUUUUCUGACAGCAGUUCUGAUGUUGUGACUCCAAGAUCUUCUUCUGAUUCUGGCUUAAGUGUCCGGGGAUGUUCCCAUCCAACCAAACGUUCUUCUCAAGCAGGCUGGACGGAUGAUGAGGAUAAGAGGCUUACUGAAGUAGUGCAGAGGUUCAAUGCCAAGAACUGGAAAAAAAUAUCUGAAUGCAUGCCUGGAAGAUCAGAUGUUCAGUGCUUGCACCGUUGGCAGAAGGUUUUGAACCCAGACCUCAGGAAAAGCCCUUGGACAAAGGAGGAGGAUGAUCGUGUUACUGAGUUUGUUGUGAAGUACGGUAGUAAGAAAUGGUCAUUUAUUGCAAACUUUGUACAUGGUCGAAAUGGAAAGCAGUGUCGCGAAAGGUGGCAUAAUCACUUGGAUCCGGCAAUCAAGAAAGAUGCAUGGACAAAAGAGGAGGAAGAAACUUUAAGACACUACCAUCAACUACUUGGUAACAAAUGGGCAGAAAUUGCGAAGUUUCUCCCCGGAAGGACUGACAAUGCUAUAAAAAACCACUGGAAUUGCUCGGUUAAGAAGAGGCCUGAUAUGAAUUCGCCUCCUAUUUUGGCAAUGGAAUCGCAGGGAAGUUCGUAUCUGAAUAUCUUCAAUAAUGAAGAAGAAAAAAUGCGAGCUGAAAGUGGUACAAUAUCGCCUUAUCCAGACCAGAAGGUCACUCAGAAAAGUGAUGGUUCCUGUUCUACAAUCAUGGCCUUUGGCAAUACUAAAUUUCCUGCAGAUCAUGCACAGGCAAAACCUGCCCUGCUGGAUUCCUGCAGAUCUUAUGAGAAAGGGAGUACAAACGGUAUUCAUUUUGGUUCCCCGCCCACCAAUAUAAGUGGCAGUUGUUUCAAUGGCAGCUGCAAUAAAGUCGGAUCCUAUAACCAGUCAACCAACUCGUUGAAUAAUGUUAGAGAAGAUGCUCUGGAUAGCGUCCCUACAAAUCCAAAAGUGUUUACAUCACCUCAGAUGUCUAGAGACAGCCAAUGUGUAACAGAUGGAAGUUGUGAUCACUCACCUGUUGAUACCGUUUUAAGCCUCUCAGUGUGUGGAUACACUGACAAUAGUAUAAAGACCAGAAAAAGAAGCAGGAUCUGUCAAUCACCUCUAUUGGCUGAUGAGGGGAGUGGAUUGUCAUGUUAUGAUCCAUCUCGGCCGAAUGGUUCUGAUAUUAAAACUGAACAUGCUGGUCAUCAGCUCGUUAGUUCCUACCCCAUUAACCUGUCACUAUCUAUCUCUAGUCCAGAAUCUAUACUGAAGAGUUCGGCUAUAAGUUACAGAAAUACGCCUUCAAUUAUACGGAGGAAAACAUAUAGAGAAGUAGCUAGUGGAAUUUACUCUAGCACUUUUAGCACUUCAAUGCACGCUGCUGACUGCUCAAAUUUGACGAGUGAGAGAGGUGGCUUGCCUUGUCACGACACCAGAUCUGGUUCAUCAGUUAUAGGACAAGCUGUGGAAAGACGACUCGAACAUGCAUUCGAUUUAGAGUGGGAUUCGAGCUCUGUUAAAUGUUACUCUCCAGGAUCAUCACAACUUAAAUCUGAUAAAAAGAUAAUCUUGGCUCCCUGAAAAAGAAUGUUGCAGGCUAUCAGUGUACAUCAAAGAAGCAAUCUUGUGAGUAAGGCAGGACCGGAUCAAGACAAGUAAUUUGAGACGUGAGGUGGAAAGAAUAAAGACUACACAUACAAUAAGUCCUUUGAAUUUUUUUUUUUCAAAUAGAUCUUGUUCUUUCAACGAACUUGUUGAUACAUCUUUUCUAUGAGUAUAUAACAAAUUAAUAUGAUGAAUAA
This is an RNA transcript of Salvia hispanica, 2164 nucleotides long. RefSeq lists it as uncharacterized. The record is from RefSeq and is a predicted model, not a curated record. NCBI's taxonomy places the organism in Eukaryota, Viridiplantae, Streptophyta, Magnoliopsida, Lamiales, Lamiaceae.